Molecule: ribosomal RNA, 878 nt
Filed under: uncultured bacterium
Lineage: Bacteria
Description: bacterial SSU rRNA
Rfam family: Bacterial small subunit ribosomal RNA
Source: RNAcentral
UUAACACAUGCAAGUCGAACGGCAGCACGGAGAGCUUGCUCUCUGGUGGCGAGUGGUGAACGGGUGAGUAAUAUAUCGGAACGUGUCCAAUAAUGGGGGAUAACGAGUCGAAAGAUUCGCUAAUACCGCAUACGCCCUACGGGGGAAAGCAGGGGAUCGUAAGACCUUGCGUUAAUGGAGCGGCCGAUAUCUGAUUAGCUUGUUGGUGAGGUAAAGGCUCACCAAGGCGACGAUCAGUAGCUGGUUUGAGAGAACGACCAGCCACACUGGAACUGAGACACGGUCCAGACUCCUACGGGAGGCAGCAGUGGGGAAUUUUGGACAAUGGGGGCAACCCUGAUCCAGCCAUUCCGCGUGAGUGAAGAAGGCCCUCGGGUUGUAAAGCUCUUUCGCAAGGGAAGAAAACUUAUGAUCGAAUAAAUCAUGAGGUUGACGGUACCUUGAUAAGAAGCACCGGCUAACUACGUGCCAGCAGCCGCGGUAAUACGUAGGGUGCGAGCGUUAAUCGGAAUUACUGGGCGUAAAGCGUGCGCAGGCGGUUUUGUAAGUCGGAUGUGAAAUCCCCGGGCUCAACCUGGGAACUGCGUUCGAAACUGCAAGGCUAGAGUGUGUCAGAGGGGGGUAGAAUUCCACGUGUAGCAGUGAAAUGCGUAGAGAUGUGGAGGAAUACCAAUGGCGAAGGCAGCCCCCUGGGAUAACACUGACGCUCAUGCACGAAAGCGUGGGGAGCAAACAGGAUUAGAUACCCUGGUAGUCCACGCCCUAAACGAUGUCAACUAGUUGUUGGUAGAGUAAAAUCUAUGAGUAACGUAGCUAACGCGUGAAGUUGACCGCCUGGGGAGUACGGUCGCAAGAUUAAAACUCAAAGGAAUUGACGG